RNAcentral lists this ribosomal RNA (254 nucleotides) under uncultured bacterium. RNAcentral's name for it is "partial 16S ribosomal RNA". It matches the Rfam family "Bacterial small subunit ribosomal RNA", at positions 524 to 776 of the family's 1533-position model. The record is from RNAcentral.
GACAGAGGCCUCGAGCGUUUAGGCGGAAUCACUGGGCUUAAAGCGUGUGUAGGCGGAUCGUUAAGUACCUUGUGAAAUCCCACGGCUCAACCGUGGAACGGCUGGGUAUACUGGCGGUCUUGGGCCAUUCAGGGGCGACUGGAACAAGCGGUGGAGCGGUGAAAUGCGUAGAUAUCGCUUGGAACGCCGAAGGUGAAAACAGGUCGCUGGGGAUGUGCCGACGCUGAGACACGAAAGCCAGGGGAGCAAACGGG